Mytilus californianus (California mussel) is the source of this 959-nucleotide long non-coding RNA. RefSeq lists it as uncharacterized. The record is from RefSeq and is a predicted model, not a curated record. The transcript has 3 exons. NCBI's taxonomy places the organism in Eukaryota, Metazoa, Mollusca, Bivalvia, Mytilida, Mytilidae.
GCAAACACACGACGUACUCCCGACGUCGGUUAAUGGUCGUCUGAACGUCAUGUCUUGAGUUUACGUCGUACCAACGUUGUGGGAACGUAAAAACCCAACGUUGGAUGCAGACGUACAGACAACGUUAUAAAAUUACGUCGAAUUUACGUAAAUUUAGUACCCUGUCAGGACGUAACAUUUUAUUACGUUGUGACAACGUGCUUAUAACUGUCUUAAUCCGACGUAAUAUUUUGUUACGUCGUAUCAACAUUAUAAUAACGUAGUGAACAAACCUUGUUAAUACCAGUGACACAUUUAAAUCUGGUUUUAUGGGACGAAUUUUGUGGGUAUGAGUCUUCCUGGGUAUAUCAUUCACCUUCACUAGAAUAUAUUCACGAUUUUUUCGAUUUUCAAAAUAUCCCCCUUUUUUCCCGCACAGACAUAAUUUGCACCAAAAUGUCCAAGAAAAUAUUACAAAUCCAAUUUUAAUGUUCUAAUAUAUAUAUUUUAUAUGAAUAUUUAUUGUUUAAUAUAUCAUUAAAGUUUUGUCAUCAUUUAUUAUUCUAAUUCCAUAAUCGAUUUUUUACGAUUGGUUAUAAUAGUGGAACGUUCAGCAGUACUCGGGUUUUACCGCUGCAUAUUAUGAAAAGUCUGAGCAUGCGCACUUUCACCGCUUGAUUUUUAAAAACAGUGAUAAAACUUGCAGUGAAAUUUAGCUCGAUCCAGAUUCUAGAACAAAGAAAAAGACUCUUGUAUAAAAAUCCACAGAUCCAAUGUGUCUGAGGUUGAGGAAUGCAUUGCAGUAACACUUAAGCUUGCACCAGCUAGCUCAAAAAGAUGGACCAAGUUAUAAAAAGAGACCUGAAACCAACACAAGACCAGCUGAUCAGAGGGCAGAAAACCAAAAUUUGGAAUGACAUGUAUACAACCAACAAAAGACUAAAAUUUGGAAUAAAAAUAAAAAAAAUUCAGAAACAUAU